This 253-nucleotide ribosomal RNA is filed under the name uncultured bacterium. RNAcentral describes it as "partial 16S ribosomal RNA". It matches the Rfam family "Bacterial small subunit ribosomal RNA", at positions 524 to 776 of the family's 1533-position model. The record is from RNAcentral.
UACGUAGGUGGCAAGCGUUGUCCGGAUUUACUGGGCGUAAAGGGCGUGCAGGCGGUCUGUUAAGUGCAGGGUGAAAGCUCCCGGCUCAACUGGGAGAGGUCCUUGCAUACUGGCGGACUUGAGGGGGGUAGAGGAAAGUGGAAUUCCCGGUGUAGUGGUGAUAUGCGUAGAUAUCGGGAGGAACACCUGUGGCGAAGGCGGGUUGCUGGGCUGACACUGACGCUGAUGCGCGAAAGCCAGGGGAGCGAACGGG